CAGCCAAGCCACCCUGAACAAGCUCAAUCUUGUCUGAUCUCAGAAGCUAAGCAGGGUCCGGCCUGGUUAGUACUUGGAUGAGAGACCACCUAGGAAGACCAGGUAUUUUUAUGC
This 114-nucleotide ribosomal RNA is filed under the name Pteropus alecto (black flying fox). Lineage: Eukaryota; Metazoa; Chordata; Mammalia; Chiroptera; Pteropodidae. The record is from RNAcentral.